This 691-nucleotide ribosomal RNA is filed under the name uncultured prokaryote. RNAcentral's name for it is "bacterial SSU rRNA". It matches the Rfam family "Bacterial small subunit ribosomal RNA", at positions 791 to 1482 of the family's 1533-position model. The record is from RNAcentral.
UAGUCCACGCUGUAAACGAUGUCGACUUGGAGGUUGUGCCCNUGAGGCGUGGCUUCCGGAGCUAACGCGUUAAGUCGACCGCCUGGGGAGUACGGCCGCAAGGUUAAAACUCAAAUGAAUUGACGGGGGCCCGCACAAGCGGUGGAGCAUGUGGUUUAAUUCGAUGCAACGCGAAGAACCUUACCUACUCUUGACAUCCACGGAACUUGCCAGAGAUGGCUUGGUGCCUUCGGGAACCGUGAGACAGGUGCUGCAUGGCUGUCGUCAGCUCGUGUUGUGAAAUGUUGGGUUAAGUCCCGCAACGAGCGCAACCCUUAUCCUUUGUUGCCAGCACUUCGGGUGGGAACUCAAAGGAGACUGCCGGUGAUAAACCGGAGGAAGGUGGGGAUGACGUCAAGUCAUCAUGGCCCUUACGAGUAGGGCUACACACGUGCUACAAUGGCGUAUACAAAGAGAAGCAAACUCGCGAGAGCCAGCGGACCUCAUAAAGUACGUCGUAGUCCGGAUUGGAGUCUGCAACUCGACUCCAUGAAGUCGGAAUCGCUAGUAAUCGUAGAUCAGAAUGCUACGGUGAAUACGUUCCCGGGCCUUGUACACACCGCCCGUCACACCAUGGGAGUGGGUUGCAAAAGAAGUAGGUAGCUUAACCUUCGGGAGGGCGCUUACCACUUUGUGAUUCAUGACUGGGGUG